Molecule: ribosomal RNA, 292 nt
Filed under: uncultured bacterium
Lineage: Bacteria
Description: partial 16S ribosomal RNA
Rfam family: Bacterial small subunit ribosomal RNA
Source: RNAcentral
GUGCCAGCAGCCGCGGUAAGACAGAGGGUGCAAACGUUGUUCGGAAUUACUGGGCGUAAAGCGUGUGUAGGCGGCUAUGUAAGUCGGAUGUGAAAGCCCCGGGCUCAACUCGGGAAGUGCACUCGAUACUGCGUAGCUAGAGUACCGGAGAGGUUGGUGGAAUUCUCGGUGUAGAGGUGAAAUUCGUAGAUAUCGAGAGGAACACCGGUGGCGAAGGCGGCCAACUGGACGAGUACUGACGCUGAGACACGAAAGCGUGGGGAGCAAACAGGAUUAGAUACCCCGGUAGUCC